RNAcentral lists this small nuclear RNA (151 nucleotides) under Capra hircus (goat). RNAcentral describes it as "U2 spliceosomal RNA (ENSCHIG00010006015.1, ENSCHIG00020003218.1)". It matches the Rfam family "U2 spliceosomal RNA". From Rfam's summary of the family: U2 is a small nuclear RNA (snRNA) component of the spliceosome (involved in pre-mRNA splicing). Complementary binding between U2 snRNA (in an area lying towards the 5' end but 3' to hairpin I) and the branchpoint sequence (BPS) of the intron results the bulging out of an unpaired adenosine, on the BPS, which initiates a nucleophilic attack at the intronic 5' splice site, thus starting the first of two transesterification reactions that mediate splicing. Lineage: Eukaryota; Metazoa; Chordata; Mammalia; Artiodactyla; Bovidae. The record is from Rfam by way of RNAcentral.
AUCACUUCUUGGCCUUUUGGCUAAGAUCAUGUGUGAAGAAUAGAUGUAUUUUGUUUUUACACUCAACAGCUAGUUUUAAAGUUAUUCCUUGGAUUAAAAAGAACAAAAAACUGCUUGAAAUUAUAGAAUUUUCAGCCAAGAUUCUCAUACU